GACGAACGCUGGCGGCGUGCUUAACACAUGCAAGUCGAACGGUAAGGCCCUUCGGGGUACACGAGUGGCGAACGGGUGAGUAACACGUGGGUGAUCUGCCCUGCACUUCGGGAUAAGCCUGGGAAACUGGGUCUAAUACCGGAUAGGACCACUGCCUGCAUGGGUGGUGGUGGAAAGCUUUUGCGGUGUGGGAUGGGCCCGCGGCCUAUCAGCUUGUUGGUGGGGUGAUGGCCUACCAAGGCGAAGACGGGUAGCCGGCCUGAGAGGGUGACCGGGCACACUGGGACUGGGAUACGGCCCAGACUCCUACGGGAGGCAGCAGUGGGGAAUAUUGCACAAUGGGCGCAAGCGUGAUGCAGCGACGCCGCGUGAGGGAUGACGGCCUUCGGGUUGUAAACCUCUUUCAGCACCGACGAAGCGCAAGUGACGGUAGGUGCAGAAGAAGGACCGGCCAACUACGUGCCAGCCGCCGCCGUAA
RNAcentral lists this ribosomal RNA (478 nucleotides) under uncultured bacterium. RNAcentral's name for it is "partial 16S ribosomal RNA". It matches the Rfam family "Bacterial small subunit ribosomal RNA", at positions 28 to 523 of the family's 1533-position model. The record is from RNAcentral.